UACAGAGGGGGCAAGCGUUGUUCGGAAUUACUGGGCGUAAAGGGCUCGUAGGCGGCCAACUAAGUCAGACGUGAAAUCCCUCGGCUUAACCGGGGAACUGCGUCUGAUACUGGUUGGCUUGAAUCCGGGAGAGGGAUGUGGAAUUCCAGGUGUAGCGGUGAAAUGCGUAGAUAUCUGGAGGAACACCGGUGGCGAAGGCGGCAUCCUGGACCGGUAUUGACGCUGAGGAGCGAAAGCCAGGGGAGCAAACGGG
This 253-nucleotide ribosomal RNA is filed under the name uncultured bacterium. RNAcentral describes it as "partial 16S ribosomal RNA". It matches the Rfam family "Bacterial small subunit ribosomal RNA", at positions 524 to 776 of the family's 1533-position model. The record is from RNAcentral.